GAUGAACGCUGGCGGCGUGCCUAAUACAUGCAAGUCGAGCGAACAGACGAGGCGCUUGCUCCUCUGACGUUAGCGGCGGACGGGUGAGUAACACGUGGAUAACCUACCUAUAAGACUGGGAUAACUUCGGGAAACCGGAGCUAAUACCGGAUAAUAUAUUGAACCGCAUGGUUCAAUAGUGAAAGACGGUUUUGCUGUCACUUAUAGAUGGAUCCGCGCCGCAUUAGCUAGUUGGUAAGGUAACGGCUUACCAAGGCAACGAUGCGUAGCCGACCGGAGAGAGUGAUCGGCCACACUGGAACUGAGACACGGUCCAGACUCCUACGGGAGGCAGCAGUAGGGAAUCUUCCGCAAUGGGCGAAAGCCUGACGGAGCAACGCCGCGUGAGUGAUGAAGGUCUUCGGAUCGUAAAACUCUGUUAUUAGGGAAGAACAAAUGUGUAAGUAACUAUGCACGUCUUGACGGUACCUAAUCAGAAAGCCACGGCUAACUACGUG
RNAcentral lists this ribosomal RNA (497 nucleotides) under uncultured bacterium. RNAcentral's name for it is "partial 16S ribosomal RNA". It matches the Rfam family "Bacterial small subunit ribosomal RNA", at positions 28 to 507 of the family's 1533-position model. The record is from RNAcentral.